UACGAAGGGGGCUAGCGUUGCUCGGAAUGACUGGGCGUAAAGGGCGCGUAGGCGGAUCGGACAGUCAGAUGUGAAAUUCCUGGGCUUAACCUAGGGGCUGCAUUUGAUACGUGUGGUCUAGAGUGAGGAAGAGGGUCGUGGAAUUCCUAGUGUAGCGGUGAAAUGCGUAGAGAUUAGGAAGAACACCAGUGGCGAAGGCGACUUACUGGACUGUAACUGACGCUGAGGCAUGAAAGCGUGGGGAGCAAACAGG
Molecule: ribosomal RNA, 253 nt
Filed under: uncultured bacterium
Lineage: Bacteria
Description: partial 16S ribosomal RNA
Rfam family: Bacterial small subunit ribosomal RNA
Source: RNAcentral